UUCGUCCCAAACACUCCCAUCUCUCUCUCUCCUCCUCGUGAUGCCGCAGGUGGAUCUGGAAGCCCUCGUCUCCGCCUGCGCCGGCGGCGCCCGCGACGGUAAGAUCUCCUGCGAGACCGUCGGCGGCGGCGGCGGCGGCGGUCGUCGGGAGGACGAGGAUCCUCCCGAUCUCCCCCGAUUCCGUCUUGCUCUCCAAGGACGCCGAGUUCGACUGGUUCGACCGCAACGCCUUCUACGAGCGCCGGGACUCCACCAAGGCCAACUCCAGUCCCGCCGCCGCCUCGAAUCCGAUCCUCAGCUCCCCGACGAACUCCAACUCGCGGCGGUCGUCGAAUAACUUCAAGUCCAAGGCGUCGAUCCUCGGUCUCCCGAAGCCGCAGAGCUCGUGCUUCGUCGACGCCAAGAACCGGCGCCCCUGCAAGGCGGGAGGCGGCGCGGGGUUCUUCCCGAAGCGGUCGGGAUCGGCCGGCAAGGUCGAUCCCCGGCGGUCGAGCCGUCCUCGCCGAAGGUCUCGUGCAUGGGGAGGGUGAGAUCGAAGAGGGAAGCGAACCGGCGGAAGAGGCGCGACGAGCCGGCUGAAAGGAGCAGAACCGGGCUGUUCGCGAGCCUCCUCGCGAUACUGGGAACCGGCUGCAGGAAUCGGCCGGCGGUCCUGGCCGACGUGCCGCGGGCGGCGUCGCCCGGCUCCCGGGACGAGAGGAAGCACCCGCCGGCGAGCGGCGCGGGCGGCCGCCUCCGGAUCCGCCAGCGGCGGAGGGCGGCGAGCCGCCGUCGGGCCUGGGCGGGGUGAAGCGGUUCAGGUCCGGUAGGAGGCCGGACUCGUGGGCCAACAACGUGGCGUGAGGGGAUUGGCCAGGGCGCGGUUGACACGUCGGUUGGCGGG
RNA transcript from Eucalyptus grandis, 883 nucleotides. RefSeq lists it as uncharacterized. NCBI's taxonomy places the organism in Eukaryota, Viridiplantae, Streptophyta, Magnoliopsida, Myrtales, Myrtaceae. The transcript has a single exon. The record is from RefSeq and is a predicted model, not a curated record.